GACACAGUAGGGUUGAAUUAAGAAUAGACGUUAUAAUGGCAUGACACAGUAGGGUUGAAUUAAGAAUAGACGUUAUAAUGGCAUGACACAGUAGGGUUGAAUUAAGAAUAGACGUUAUAAUGGCGUGACACAGUAGGGUUGAAUUAAGAAUAGACGUUAUAAUGGCGUGAAACAGUAGGGUUGAAUUAAGAAUAGACGUUAUAAUGGCGUGAAACAGUAGGGUUGAAUUAAGAAUAGACGUUAUAAUGGCGUGAAACAGUAGGGUUGAAUUAAGAAUAGACGUUAUAAUGGCGUGAAACAGUAGGGUUGAAUUAAGAAUAGACGUUAUAAUGGCAUGACACAGUAGGGUUGAAUUAAGAAUAGACGUUAUAAUGGCGUGAAACAGUAGGGUUGAAUUAAGAAUAGACGUUAUAAUGGCGUGAAACAGUAGGGUUGAAUUAAGAACAGACGUUAUAAUGGCGUGAAACAGUAGGGUUGAAUUAAGAAUAGACGUUAUAAUGGCGUGACACAGUAGGGUUGAAUUAAGAAUAGACGUUAUAAUGGCAUGACACAGUAGGGUUGAAUUAAGAAUAGACGUUAUAAUGGCAUGACACAGUAGGGUUGAAUUAAGAAUAGACGUUAUAAUGGCAUGACACAGUAGGGUUGAAUUAAGAAUAGACGUUAUAAUGGCAUGACACAGUAGGGUUGAAUUAAGAAUAGACGUUAUAAUGGCGUGAAACAGUAGGGUUGAAUUAAGAAUAGACGUUAUAAUGGCAUGACACAGUAGGGUUGAAUUAAGAAUAGACGUUAUAAUGGCAUGACACAGUAGGGUUGAAUUAAGAAUAGACGUUAUAAUGGCGUGAAACAGUAGGGUUGAAUUAAGAAUAGACGUUAUAAUGGCAUGACACAGUAGGGUUGAAUUAAGAAUAGACGUUAUAAUGGCAUGACACAGUAGGGUUGAAUUAAGAAUAGACGUUAUAAUGGCAUGACACAGUAGGGUUGAAUUAAGAAUAGACGUUAUAAUGGCGUGAAACAGUAGGGUUGAAUU
Long non-coding RNA from Oncorhynchus keta (chum salmon), 1027 nucleotides. RefSeq lists it as uncharacterized. The record is from RefSeq and is a predicted model, not a curated record. NCBI's taxonomy places the organism in Eukaryota, Metazoa, Chordata, Actinopteri, Salmoniformes, Salmonidae. The transcript is spliced from 3 exons.